This 1457-nucleotide unclassified non-coding RNA is filed under the name Hevea brasiliensis (rubber tree). The record is from RNAcentral. Lineage: Eukaryota; Viridiplantae; Streptophyta; Magnoliopsida; Malpighiales; Euphorbiaceae.
GGUUAUGCAGCUCCAGAGUAUGUUCAGACUGGCAGGCUGACUGUAAAGAGUGAUGUAUGGAGCUUUGGGGUGGUUCUCUACGAGCUUAUGACAGGAAGGCGAGCAAUAGAGAGAAACCUACCGCGGGCUGAGCAGAAGCUUUUAGAAUGGGUAAGACCAUAUGUAUCAGAUUCAAAGAAGUUCCACCUUAUUUUAGAUCCACGACUUGAAGGAGAUUAUUGCAUCAAAUCAGCCCAGAAACUAGCAUUCCUGGCAAACAAGUGUCUAACAAAACAGCCAAAGUCCCGACCUAAAAUGAGUGAGGUAGUAGAGAUGCUGGGAAACAUCAUAGGUGAGAUAUCAUCUCAAGUUGAUGUUGCCUGUGAACCUGUUUCUGAACAUGAAGAAGUUAAGGAAGAAACCUCUGUGGAGACUGAUGAGUCCAUUAGACAAGGGAAUGGCUAUCGGAAGAAGGUUUUUGAUUUAAGAGAAAUAGUCAACUUGCGGAACAGAUCAAUAGGGAAAUUAGAUUGGAGAAAUUGGACACCUGGGUUGGUAAGAACUUCAGAAUAGACAUUGGGUAGCGAGUAGAAACGCAUACAGCCUUUCUCAUAGUAUUGGAAGAGAAAUGAGUUUAUCCUCACAGUAAAAGAGAUGAAUGCUGGAAUAUAUGAUGCAUAAAGUUGAAGGGUAUUAAUUUUCGUUCUGUUUGCGGGUUAGCUGUAUAUAUAGGUUGUUGGGCCUGAACCGACAAAGACAUGCAAACUACGCUCGUCUCAAAUACACUUUGUAAGGAACAAAUCUGCUUGUCGACUAUAACUUGUAAAUUUUUCCAAGGUGGCUAGCGAGAUGCUGAUUUUCCCGAGUCUUUCUUGCAUGGCUGGAGUGAUUUGUUGAUUUGGGCCAGCCCAGCAGGCUACAGGCUACGUCAUUUCUCAUAGGUGUUUUUAUCAUAUUCUGAGUCUGAACGGUCUUCAGGGCUUCCACAGGUUCUCUGAACUAGGAACUUCCCGUCUGUCCUUGACAUUCUUGUGGAUCGUGGUCUUCUAGAAGAAACAAAACUAUAUAAAAUUUGUCACAGAUGGUUUCUCCCAUACCGGAUGAGAUGGGACUUGGAAUUGACUGGCUUGGGACCUUAGGUAAUGCAUCCCCAAUUUGAACAAGUUGCCGCCAUGGUCUUACUCUGGCACCCACCGCGGUCCAUGCAUUCCCUCCAGUCUGCUUUUCUCUUCAGGAUUCUGCCCUACACAGCAAUCAAUAACAAUGUCAAUUUCCCUCCUCUCUUUUUCUUCUGUUUUUCUGCUUCUUAUUAGAAUGAUCUGGGUCUUGUUACUCUUCUGAAUAAGCUGCUCCCAUUUUAUAGCCUUCUUAAGAGAGGAUGGUUAUAGCUUAGAGCUGUUAAAAGUUUUGCUUGAAUUAAACGGAAAUUAUGCUUUUGAACUUUAUCAAUUGUAUCAACAUUUUACCUCGAAGUAAAC